AUUGAACGCUGGCGGCAUGCCUUACACAUGCAAGUCGAACGGUAACAGGUCUUCGGAUGCUGACGAGUGGCGAACGGGUGAGUAAUACAUCGGAACGUGCCUAGUAGUGGGGGAUAACUACUCGAAAGAGUGGCUAAUACCGCAUGAGAUCUACGGAUGAAAGCAGGGGAUCGCAAGACCUUGUGCUACUAGAGCGGCCGAUGGCAGAUUAGGGAGUUGGUGGGAUAAAAGCUUACCAAGCCGACGGUCUGUAGCUGGUCUGAGAGGACGAUCAGCCACACUGGGACUGAGACACGGCCCAGACUCCUCCGGGAGGCAGCAGUGGGGAAUUUUGGACAAUGGGCGAAAGCCUGAUCCAGCAAUGCCGCGUGCAGGAUGAAGGCCUUCGGGUUGUAAACUGCUUUUGUACGGAACGAAAAGCCCCGGGUUAAUACCCUGGGGUCAUGACGGUACCGUAAGAAUAAGCACCGGCUAACUACGUGCCAGCCGCCGCCGUAA
This 498-nucleotide ribosomal RNA is filed under the name uncultured bacterium. RNAcentral describes it as "partial 16S ribosomal RNA". It matches the Rfam family "Bacterial small subunit ribosomal RNA", at positions 30 to 523 of the family's 1533-position model. The record is from RNAcentral.